Molecule: ribosomal RNA, 676 nt
Filed under: Bacillus glycinifermentans
Lineage: Bacteria; Bacillati; Bacillota; Bacilli; Caryophanales; Bacillaceae
Description: bacterial SSU rRNA
Rfam family: Bacterial small subunit ribosomal RNA
Source: RNAcentral
ACUGCAGUCGAGCGGANGAUGGGAGCUUGCUCCCUGAUGUAGCGGCGGACGGGUGAGUAACACGUGGGUAACCUGCCUGUAAGACUGGGAUAACUCCGGGAAACCGGGGCUAAUACCGGAUGCUUGAUUGAACCGCAUGGUUCAAUUAUAAAAGGUGGCUUUUAGCUACCACUUACAGAUGGACCCGCGGCGCAUUAGCUAGUUGGUGAGGUAACGGCUCACCAAGGCAACGAUGCGUAGCCGACCUGAGAGGGUGAUCGGCCACACUGGGACUGAGACACGGCCCAGACUCCUACGGGAGGCAGCAGUAGGGAAUCUUCCGCAAUGGACGAAAGUCUGACGGAGCAACGCCGCGUGAGUGAUGAAGGUUUUCGGAUCGUAAAACUCUGUUGUUAGGGAAGAACAAGUACCGUUCGAAUAGGGCGGUACCUUGACGGUACCUAACCAGAAAGCCACGGCUAACUACGUGCCAGCAGCCGCGGUAAUACGUAGGUGGCAAGCGUUGUCCGGAAUUAUUGGGCGUAAAGCGCGCGCAGGCGGUUUCUUAAGUCUGAUGUGAAAGCCCCCGGCUCAACCGGGGAGGGUCAUUGGAAACUGGAGAACUUGAGUGCAGAAGAGGAGAGUGGAAUUCCACGUGUAGCGGUGAAAUGCGUAGAGAUGUGGAGGAACACCAAUG